Molecule: long non-coding RNA, 1213 nt
Organism: Polypterus senegalus (gray bichir)
Lineage: Eukaryota; Metazoa; Chordata; Cladistia; Polypteriformes; Polypteridae
Exons: 3
Source: RefSeq, a predicted model, not a curated record
GGAAGACAUUAUGGUUUGAUCCUUGUCUUUUGCUAUAUAUAGUAUACUUUUUAUCUGUAUUUAUUUAAUAAAACAUAAUAAUAACAGUAUGAUCCUACAUGUAGGCAAAGCACUAAAGGAAAACCUAAUUCUGCUUACAAUACAUACAUUUAAUUAGCAGAGGUUUGGCAUUGCUCACUUUUUAUUAAUGAUUGACAUUUUAAAACAGAGCAGAGCAGAAUGUAUUACAACCAUCUCACACAUAAACAUACUUAAACACAUUGCUUCAGCCAGCACUAGGGUAUCAAAAUGUGGCAGAACAGCACAUGUUGCAAAAUCCUAACAGGACCGAACAUUGGCCUGAAAAAAUAGGAAGCUAAUGGCAGAACUGCACUAAGACUGCAAGAGUUUGCUUUAUCCCUCAACUCUAAUGCAGUCUUUGAGAAUACAUGUCUACAUAACUAGCCUAUAAGGGUUAAGCCACUAGCACCACUGAAAAGAAAGCGGAAAUGUCUUAAACAAGAAAAAAAACCGACACACUGAACAUCAAAAUGUACUCAGUAAUGCAAAUGAAAACACAGAUGAUACAUCCAUCCAUCUAUCCAUUAUCCAACCCGCUAUUUCCUAACUACAGGGUCACAGGGGUCUGUUGGAGCCAAUCCCAGCCAACACAGGGUACAAGGCAGAAAACAAACCGUAGGCAGGGCACCAGCCCACCGCAGGCAGAUGAUACAACAAUACUAAAAACAACGGAAAACAUUUUCCAUCAACUGUCAAAAAAAAAAAAAAAUCUAAAUUUGAAAAUCUGACCCUGUAUCUAUUUGUUCUUUUAAAGAAUCACAAGAUGGCUACUGUGGAAUCACCCACUGGCACUGAAUGACCACACUGCAGGAGUCACCAUGCAGCAACCAUCAUGAAGUCCCAAAAAAUAAAUAAAGAGAUGAUAAAACGGCACAGUGCCAAAAUGCCAUGAAGCAGCUGUGGACCCUGACAAUGUGUCCAGAUGAUUGACAGCUAUAACACCUCUGAUGUCACUUCUGGUGUCCAUCCGCAUAGACCCGACUGUUCCUGAUGGAUGGACUCAAAUCUGGAAGCUCUGUCAUCUUUGUUGUGAACUUGUAACCACUGAAGACUAAGCCAAAAUUUGUCACUUCCUUCCUUUGUAGAUGACCUCACUUCCGUCCCGUCCUGAUGACAUCAUUUCCUGUCCAUACCAACGCCAUCUUUUCAUUUC